UCCAGACUCCUACGGGAGGCAGCAGUUAGGAAUAUUCGUCAAUGGGGGAAACCCUGAACGAGCAAUGCCGCGUGAAGGAUGACGGUCCUAUGGAUUGUAAACUUCUGUUGUUAGGGAAGAACGACCUAAGUAGGAAAUGACUUAGGAGUGACGGUACCUUUCAAGAAAGCUCCGGCUAACUACGUGCCAGCAGCCGCGGUAAUACGUAGGGAGCGAGCGUUAUCCGGAUUUAUUGGGUGUAAAGGGUGCGUAGGCGGCUUCUUAAGUCUGUAGUCUAAGCCCGGAGCUUAACUCCGGUUCGCUACAGAAACUGAUUAGCUUGAGUAUGGUAGAGGCAAGUGGAAUUUCUAGUGUAGCGGUUAAAUGCGUAGAUAUUAGAAGGAACACCAGUGGCGAAGGCGACUUGCUGGGCCAUUACUGACGCUGAGGCACGAAAGCGUGGGGAGCAAAUAGGAUUAGAUACCCGCGUAC
RNAcentral lists this ribosomal RNA (471 nucleotides) under uncultured bacterium. RNAcentral describes it as "bacterial SSU rRNA". It matches the Rfam family "Bacterial small subunit ribosomal RNA", at positions 330 to 793 of the family's 1533-position model. The record is from RNAcentral.